AGUCACCUACGGGAGGCAGCAGUAGGGAAUUUUCGUCAAUGGGCGCAAGCCUGAACGAGCAAUGCCGCGUGAACGAGGAAGGUCUUCGGAUCGUAAAGUUCUGUUGAAGGGGAAAAAGAGCGGAGAGAGGAAAUGGUCUCCGAUUGAUAUUACCCUUCGAGGAAGUCACGGCUAACUACGUGCCAGCAGCCGCGGUAAUACGUAGGUGGCGAGCGUUAUCCGGAAUGAUUGGGCGUAAAGGGAGCGUAGACGGUAAUGCAAGUCUGGAGUGAAAGGCGGGGGCCCAACCCCCGGACUGCUCUGGA
This 305-nucleotide ribosomal RNA is filed under the name uncultured bacterium. Its description in RNAcentral is "bacterial SSU rRNA". It matches the Rfam family "Bacterial small subunit ribosomal RNA", at positions 333 to 630 of the family's 1533-position model. The record is from RNAcentral.